This 493-nucleotide ribosomal RNA is filed under the name uncultured bacterium. RNAcentral describes it as "partial 16S ribosomal RNA". It matches the Rfam family "Bacterial small subunit ribosomal RNA", at positions 30 to 523 of the family's 1533-position model. The record is from RNAcentral.
AUUGAACGCUGGCGGCAUGCCUUACACAUGCGGGUCGAACGGUAACAGGUUAAGCUGACGAGUGGCGAACGGGUGAGUAAUAUAUCGGAACGUGCCCAGUCGUGGGGGAUAACGCAGCGAAAGCUGUGCUAAUACCGCAUACGAUCUACGGAUGAAAGCGGGGGAUCGCAAGACCUCGCGCGAUUGGAGCGGCCGAUAUCAGAUUAGCUAGUUGGUGGGGUAAAAGCCCACCAAGGCGACGAUCUGUAGCUGGUCUGAGAGGACGACCAGCCACACUGGAACUGAGACACGGUCCAGACUCCUACGGGAGGCAGCAGUGGGGAAUUUUGGACAAUGGGCGAAAGCCUGAUCCAGCAAUGCCGCGUGCAGGACGAAGGCCUUCGGGUUGUAAACUGCUUUUGUACGGAACGAAACGGUCUCUUCUAAUAAAGGGGGCUAAUGACGGUACCGUAAGAAUAAGCACCGGCUAACUACGUGCCAGCCGCCGCCGUAA